RNAcentral lists this ribosomal RNA (98 nucleotides) under Weissella confusa. Its description in RNAcentral is "partial 16S ribosomal RNA". It matches the Rfam family "Bacterial small subunit ribosomal RNA", at positions 1 to 94 of the family's 1533-position model. Lineage: Bacteria; Bacillati; Bacillota; Bacilli; Lactobacillales; Lactobacillaceae. The record is from RNAcentral.
UUCAAAUUGAGAGUUUGAUCCUGGCUCAGGAUGAACGCUGGCGGCGUGCCUAAUACAUGCAAGUCGAACGCUUUGUGGUUCAACUGAUUUGAAGAGCU